RNAcentral lists this ribosomal RNA (497 nucleotides) under uncultured bacterium. RNAcentral's name for it is "partial 16S ribosomal RNA". It matches the Rfam family "Bacterial small subunit ribosomal RNA", at positions 28 to 507 of the family's 1533-position model. The record is from RNAcentral.
GAUGAACGCUGGCGGCGUGCCUAAUACAUGCAAGUCGAGCGAACAGAUGAGGAGCUUGCUCCUCUGACGUUAGCGGCGGACGGGUGAGUAAAACGUGGAUAACCUACCUAUAAGACGGGGAUAACUUCGGGAAACCGGAGCUAAUACCGGAUAAUAUAUGGAACCGCAUGGUUCAAUAGUGAAAGACGGUUUGGCUGUCACUUAUAGAUGGAUCCGCGCCGCAUUAGCUAGUUGGUAAGGUAACGGCUUACCAAGGCAACGAUGCGUAGCUGACCUGAGAGGGUGAUCGGCCACACUGGAACUGAGACACGGUCCAGACUCCUACGGGAGGCAGCAGUAGGGAAUCUUCCGCAAUGGGCGCAAGCCUGACGGAGCAACGCCGCGUGAGUGAUGAAGGUCUUCGGAUCGUAAAGCUCUGUUAUUAGGGAAGAACAAAUGUGUAAGUAACUAUGCACGUCUUGACGGUACCUAAUCAGAAAGCCCCGGCUAACUACGUG